Paramuricea clavata is the source of this 261-nucleotide non-coding RNA. The record is from the annotation of a GenBank genome assembly. NCBI's taxonomy places the organism in Eukaryota, Metazoa, Cnidaria, Anthozoa, Malacalcyonacea, Plexauridae.
CUCUCAACUUUGCAGAGAAGUUAAGAGUGAGAUUGGCAGGGGCGUAGGAACCGGGAGGGCACGUAACCCCCCCCCCCCAAUUUUUUUAAAGGACUAAAAGUGCCGUUUUUUGUGAUGAAAAGUGCCCUUUUUUGUGAUGAAAAGUGCCCUUUUUGUACAAGCUAAUGUUGCUGUAAAUACUAAAUUAACAUCAAAGGUGCCGUUUUUGUUUGGAAAUUUCCAAGUUUUUUUUAAAAAUUUGGUCAAAAACGUGCCAGUCGG